CUCGAGCCGCAUUUUAUUACCAAUUCCUUUCCCUACGCCUUCCAAAGGCUCCAGCAGGGCCCGCUUCGCCUUGCCACCUCCGCCUCCCGCCGGCGGGCCCUAUGCGGAGCGAGCAGGCGGCCCGGGGGCACCUGCACCGCACGCGGCCCCACCGCAGGCCCGCGGCCCGCUGGGGCAGGAGGAGGCCGCGCUGAGCGCAGCGCAGGGCCCGCUACGAGAUAAGGCCGCACGGGGCCGAGCGCCGAGGAGGGGACCCGACCCCCGGAGGUGGAGGGAAGGCUGAGGCGCGGGGAAAGGCCCCAGCGCGCCGUUACCUGUGGCGCCGAGCAUGAAGUCCAGGGUGCUGUGCCGCGCUGCUGCCAUAGUGAGGAAUCUGCAGAAACGAGAUCUAAUGGGAACAAUACGACGGUGCCACAGCCUGAAAUUCACCUCAGGAACUAAAGUUGAAAACAACAUAUUCCUCACAGACCGCAAAGAAAUAUCUUAUAGGAAGACCUUUAUCCUUGUGUUAUUUUAGAUAGUUCACAGAAGAUUUGUUAGCACUCUUAGGACUACCUGUAUAUCUCACAGCUUUGUCACCUGUCAAUAAAGUGGUCAUCUUGUAAUGCUAAAUGAAGCCUUGAAGUCAAACAUGCUUGUUUAACGUGUACAUACACACAGAAUCUUUCACGUCUGAUUCUUUAUAUUCAAAAUAUUGUUAAUUUAUGCUAAACAGGGGCAUUUGUACAGUACAAGCACAAUGUACAUUUGUACAAACAGCACAAUGUGGUAACAGCC
Molecule: long non-coding RNA, 777 nt
Filed under: Gallus gallus (chicken)
Lineage: Eukaryota; Metazoa; Chordata; Aves; Galliformes; Phasianidae
Source: RNAcentral